Molecule: long non-coding RNA, 945 nt
Filed under: Rattus norvegicus (Norway rat)
Lineage: Eukaryota; Metazoa; Chordata; Mammalia; Rodentia; Muridae
Description: long non-coding RNA NONRATT001357
Source: RNAcentral
AGGCUAUGUGGGUGGGGUGAUGAGGUAAUGACUGUGAGACACGCUUCUCUCCAGAGGGUCUUGGUUGGUGCCCAGUGCUCUGUCCUCACUUCUGUGAAGCCCUUGUGGUUGGGUGGGAAAGAGAGACCUAAAUGUGGCAAUGGAGUGACAGGCUGGAGCGAGAAUGGCAGCCCAGGCAGGUGCUGCACUAAGGAUGCACUGGGCUUCCUAGCUCACGGGCCAGUUAACCCUUUGUGGGCAUUGGACUGUAUGUACAGCCCAUCAGGGGAAGAGCAUAGGCCACAUCAGCAGCUCAGGCUUGGGACCUUGCACUCUGUCUUGAGGUGAUGCCCAGGACUGCUACAGACUCAGCUGUAUAGGGUCAGCGGUACUUACACAGCAGUGUUGAUGUCCCUUGCCCACUGCAGCACUAGGGGUGGUCACUUAAAUGAGGAUGUUUUUUGCCUCAGCCUCAGGCUGCUAGCCUGUCAUGGUGGGUUUGAGGGCUGCAGCAGGGCUCCAGCCUACUCAGGCUCCCGUAGCCCCACUCUGUCCAGCCCAGGCAGUUAGUCAGAACAACCAACACCUGUGUGCUGAUCAGUGCAUUCCACAAAGCCCUUGGUCUGCCUGUCAUGUUGUGACCCACGCCUGCCAUGGCACAGGCUUCUUCUGUUCCAGAUGGAUGACCUAGCUGUGGUCACAGUGAGCCUCCCAAGUCCCCUUGCUCUAGUAGCUGGACAGUGUGGCUGUCCAUUAUGUACAGUCCACGCACUAUUGCAUGGACCGUGUGGAUAGCUCAACCUGUGUACCAUGUGCUGCCCAGUGAUGGUGUCUCGAUCAGUAACGUCCCAGCACACGGAAGCUGCUGGGGCAUAGGCCCGCCCUCCAUGACUACCGGGCCUCCAUUAGUCCAGUGUGCUUGUUCUCAGAGAAAAAAAAAAAAUAAAUGCUAGGACAGGAAACUGG